AGGAGCCUGCGGUCUAUCAGCUAGUUGGUGAGGUAAUAGCUCACCAAGGCUAUGACGGAUACCUGGUCUGAGAGGAUGAUCAGGCACAAUGGAACUGAGACACGGUCCAUACUCCUACGGGAGGCAGCAGUGAGGAAUCUUCCACAAUGGACGAAAGUCUGAUGGAGCGACACCGCGUGAAGGAUGAAGGCCUAACGGUUGUAAACUUCUUUUCUGAAGGAGCAUAAUGAGAGUACUUCAGGAAUAAGGGACGGCUAAAUACGUGCCAGCAGCCGCGGUAAUACGUAUGUCCCAAGCGUUACCCGGAAUCACUGGGUGUAAAGGGUUCGUAGGUGGUUAAUUAAGUUGGAUAUGAAAGACCGGAGCUCAACUUCGUGUUUGUGUUCAAAACUGAUUAACUAGAAUCAGGGAGAGGUAAGCGGAAUUCUGUGUGUAGGGGUGCAAUCCGUAGAUACACAGAGGAACACCAAAAGCGAAGGCAGCUUACUGGAACUGUAUUGACGCUCAUGAACGAAAGCGUGGGGAGCGAAAAGGAUUAGAUACCCUUGUAGUCCACGCCCUAAACGAUGAUAACUAAGUGUUGUGACUUGCUCGCAGUGCUGUAGCUAACGCGUUAAGUUAUCCACCUGAGGAGUACGGUCGCAAGAUUAAAACUCAAAGGAAUAGACGGGGACCCACACAAGCAGUGGAUCACGUGGUU
This 700-nucleotide ribosomal RNA is filed under the name uncultured bacterium. Its description in RNAcentral is "bacterial SSU rRNA". It matches the Rfam family "Bacterial small subunit ribosomal RNA", at positions 225 to 946 of the family's 1533-position model. The record is from RNAcentral.